GGGAAGACAAAAAAUUCUUCAAUUUCGACGUCGGUAUUUGAGGGGAAGCGACGUCUAUAUGUCUGUAAUUAAUUAUGUUCACCAAACUCGAGGGCCUUAGACAUCGGCUAGAUAAGCACCGACGUCUACGUUAUUAUAGACGUAGGUGCCCCAUCACAACUAUCGUGAACAUCCCUGACAGGAAAUCAAAUGUCAAUUGGUUCAGCUUCCUAGACGUCGGCUCCCCACGAAACCGACGUCUAAUUGGUAUUCAAAAAGUCAGUUUAAAAGUUGACUUGGACGUCACAUUAGUGAGAUAACCGACGUCUAUAUGACUAUAGACGUCGGUUUCUGGAGCAACCGACGCCCAAUUUCAUUUUAAAUAAACUGCAAACUCUUCGCGGCAUUCAGUUUCUGAUAUCGUCUUCCUCUUCUCCUUUUUCUCUUGCGGCACCUCUUCUUUUUCUCGCUUGCGGCACCUCUUCUUUUUCUCUCUUGCGGCAUUCUAUUGUUGUUUUUGAUAUCUUUAUCGUCUUCCUCCUCUCCUUUUUCUCUCUUGUGGCAUCCCAGGUGCGUGGUUUUUUUUUAUGCUUACCGUUUAAACUUUGUUUAGUCUUUCAUCGAUUAUAUUCUGGUUCAACUGAUUAAAAUUUGCUUUCUUUGUGUUGUGUUUUAGUGCAGUUUUGUUCCUUUCUUGGGUAACGUAGUAACACAUUCUCCAUUUGCUAGCUGCCUCCCA
Molecule: long non-coding RNA, 718 nt
Filed under: Vigna radiata
Lineage: Eukaryota; Viridiplantae; Streptophyta; Magnoliopsida; Fabales; Fabaceae
Description: long non-coding RNA (VRAD_LNC006150)
Source: RNAcentral